Molecule: ribosomal RNA, 1003 nt
Filed under: uncultured bacterium
Lineage: Bacteria
Description: bacterial SSU rRNA
Rfam family: Bacterial small subunit ribosomal RNA
Source: RNAcentral
GUGCCAGCCGCCGCGGUAAGACGUAGCGGGCAAGCGUUGUCCGGAAUGACUGGGCGUAAAGGGCGUGUAGGCGGUGCGAUACGUAGCGGUUUUAAGCCUCCGGCUCACCCGGAGGAGGGCGGCUAAACGGUCGGACUGGAGGGCAGGAGAGGUGCGUGGAAUUCUUGGUGGAGCGGUGAAAUGCGUAGAGAUCAGGAAGAACACCCGUGGCGAAGGCGGCGCACUGGCCUGGCCCUGACGCUGAGGCGCGACAGCGUGGGGAGCGAACGGGAUUAGAUACCCCGGUAGUCCACGCCGUAAACGAUGGGUACUAGGUGUCGCCCGGGUCCACCGGGCGGUGCCGGAGCUAACGCACUAAGUACCCCGCCUGGGGAGUACGGCCGCAAGGUUGAAACUCAAAGGAAUUGACGGGGGCCCGCACAAGCAGUGGAGCAUGUGGUUUAGUUCGACGCAACGCGCAGAACCUUACCAGGACUGGACACGGUCGUGAGCGCCGCGAAAGCGGCGGGCCCUUCGGGGAGCGAUCGCAGGUGCUGCAUGGUUGUCGUCAGCUCGUGUCGUGAGAUGUUGGGUUAAGUCCCGCAACGAGCGCAACCCUUGUCGUGUGUUGCCAGCGGUUCGGCCGGGCACUCACACGAGACUGCCGGUGACAAACCGGAGGAAGGUGGGGAUGACGUCAAAUCCGCAUGGCCUUGAUGUUCUGGGCGACACACGUGCUACAAUGGGUCCGACAAUGGGCGGCGACGGCGCGAGCCGCAGCGAAUCCCGCAAACGGAUCCUCAGUUCGGAUUGCAGGCUGCAACCCGCCUGCAUGAAGCCGGAAUUGCUAGUAAUCGCCCAUCAGCACGGGGCGGUGAAUUCGUUCCCGGGCCUUGUACACACCGCCCCGUCACACCACGAGAGUUGGCCACACCCGAAGCCGGGUGAUCCAACCGCCCUACGGGGCGGAGGGUCCCGUCGACGGUGGGGUUGGUGAUUGGGAAGGAGUCGUAACAAGGUAACC